GACGAACGCUGGCGGCGUGCUUAACACAUGCAAGUCGAACGGAAAGGCCCUGCUGUUGUGGGGUGCUCGAGUGGCGAACGGGUGAGUAACACGUGAGUAACCUGCCCUUGACUUUGGGAUAACUUCAGGAAACUGGGGCUAAUACCGGCUAGGAGCUCCUGCUGCUUGGUGGGGGUUGGAAAGUUUCGGCGGGUGGGGAUGGACUCGCGGCUUAUCAGCUUGUUGGUGGGGUAGUGGCUUACGUAGGCGGCGGCGCGUCGCCGGCCGGAGAGGGUGGCCGGCGACACUGGGACUGAGAGACGGCCGAGAGGGCUACGGGAGGCAGCAGUAGGGAAGCGUCGGCAAUGGACGAAAGUCUGAGCGAGCAGCGCCGCGUGAGGGAAGAGGGGUGUCGGAUGGUAAAGCUCGGUUGUAAGAGAAGAACGGGUGUGAGCGUGGAAAGUUCACACUGUGACGGUAUCUGACCAGAAAGGGACGGCUAACUACGUG
This 489-nucleotide ribosomal RNA is filed under the name uncultured bacterium. RNAcentral's name for it is "partial 16S ribosomal RNA". It matches the Rfam family "Bacterial small subunit ribosomal RNA", at positions 28 to 507 of the family's 1533-position model. The record is from RNAcentral.